Onychomys torridus (southern grasshopper mouse) is the source of this 2250-nucleotide RNA transcript. It is a transcript of the gene named ribonuclease A family member 12 (inactive), with no coding region annotated. The record is from RefSeq and is a predicted model, not a curated record. Lineage: Eukaryota; Metazoa; Chordata; Mammalia; Rodentia; Cricetidae. The transcript is spliced from 3 exons.
UAGGAAAACGUGGGAGUCUGGCAAAGAUGCUGGUGUGAUUUCCUAGGACUAGGAAAGGCUGAAUGUCGAUAGGAUCUAUUGGUGAAAAGUUGAUUUGUUUUGACAGACAAAGGUCAGGUCUGCGGGUAUUGCCCUGACUUCUUUUUUUGGAAUGUUCUUUUAAUUAUUUAAAAAUAAUCUUAAAUAUGUAACAGAUACUUAGUAAAGGAGAAUGAAUCAGUCCAUGUAGAGAAUGGAAACGCGCCCAUCAGAUUGUGACCAGGGGAGGGUGAGGGAAUAUAUUCUAGGAAAAGGAGAGGCGCCAAGAACAUGACCAGAGGAUGAUGAGGGAGGGGAGAAACAGCGGGGAGGAAGGCGGUUUUGACUUACACUGAUUUUGUUCAAAGCCCCUCCCUGAAAAGUAUAACAAUAAAGAUGACGAGGAUGACAGUGGGCUCUCAUUUCCGAACGAGCGCUCUAGGACCUUAAAUAACCAAGUGUCGUAGUAACUUAGAGUCUUACAGAACGGACCCUGUGGCUCCCUGGGGUGUGGAGGACAGGGCCAGCGUGGAAAGUCUGAGGGCGAGUGGCCAGGGAGUGCCGGGAGACGCAGGUCCGGGUGGGCCCCACAAAAACCCUGCGUGCCCUACUCCGUGCCCUACUCCGUGCACAGGACACCUUGCUGAGGCCUCUCGGACUCAACCCCGGAUCAAGAACUGCAGAUGCCUUAUUUUCCUAAUUAACGGAGCUCAUUCGUUCCUUAAUGAAAAAUUGAGGUCAGCAGCAUCAUGUGUACAUUUACACAAGACAGGAGAUAGUAAUGUAACGAGCGCCUGGAUUUCCCGUAGGGAAUAGCUGGGGAGUUUUUCCUAAAUUAAUGCAUGUUUUUAUUCUUGUUUACCGGGUUAUACAAACAAGGAUUUGAAACGGCUUUAACAUGCAAAUCUUAUUUUAUUCUUUAAUGCAAAGAUGUGUCAGUGUGCCCUUAUGGAAGGGAUAAACUUGUUCUGCAAUGCACCGAUUGCUCCUGAGCCUUUGAGAGAGGCGUUCACUGCAGAAAAGCAGGCUAAGCUUAGGUUGGCUGCAUCCAGACAGACUCCUCGGCGUCGGUCCUCUCGUGUCCUGCAGCGCCCGUGAACCCUGGCCGGGUCCUUUCCGUGCACUUGCGGGAGGCCAAGCUUCAGUCGCCAAGACUGAAGACGGAGAUGACAGUCUGAGGGCGGCUCUGCUCGAAGCAGGAGCAGGAACGGAACAGGACAAGAAGAGAACGUUCCGCCUUUUGCAUUGGGAGACCUUGGAACUUCCCUGGUGGCGAAUCCUACUCGACCCUGCAGACGGACAGGUUGACAAUGCACAUCUAUAAGAAGAGGAGUAGGAAACUGCCACUCAGCCAAAGAAUCUGACACUAUGGACAGAUCGGCGACCCAGAACGAGGAGCGCAGCCCUGCGGAAACACGCCGCGCCCUCGGAGCGUCCGCACAGACUCCCCUUCCCGCAGCAUCUCCAUCCGGAUUCUGAAAAACCACAGAGGUCCCGGUACCGCUUCUUCCCGGAAGGAUUCGGGGUUUCGGGGUUCCGUGCCUUUGGAUUUGGGCAAGGAGACGGCAGUGACUUCUUUCCUCCACCAGGCGGAGCCCCAUGCCUUUAGGAAAGGCUGGGAGGCACAGAACACCUCACCUCUCCGUCCUGGAUAGCCAGUCAUACGAGAUCAGCCUGGGCCUGCUUUAAAGGAAGCCCAGUAACCUUGGUUUGUAAACGCAGAUGCAGUCUUGCUGUCACGCUUCUUUUCUCCUAGCACUCCUGUUGGAGAUACGGAAAUGGAAACCCUGGAAAGUGGCGUGCGUGGCUUCUCAUGCUAACAUGGGUAGUUGGUGUCACUAAAGGGACAAGACAUCUUUUACCCAGUUGCCUGUUGUGCCCAGGUCGCAAGACCCCCAAGCAAGACCACUACAGAGCCAAUAUCCGAUACAAGCACGCAGAGUUUUAUUAUUAUUAUUAUUAUUAUUAUUAUUAUUAUUAACAAAACAUGCAAGCUUGGUCGGCCAUCCAACAUCUGACACCGCGGGUGGAGGAGAACGGCCCCAGCACCCACUUUUAAGGGGUUUAUAUAGGAAAAGUUUACAUGCAGCUUGGGAUUGGACGAGGGGGCUAGGGUGAGGUAAGCAUAAGGUUACUAACUGCUAACAGUUACUAACAGGAUUCGGGGUAUCCAUAAAGACAUAAAUUUUUAUUCCCUAUGUCCUGCUUUUGUUGACACAUUCAUAUUUAUUG